UUGGCAGGGAACAGCUCCCUCAGAGGCCCAACCAGGAUGAGGCAGAGCCUUUCAAGAGAGAUAAAGGAAAACAGCCAGCCCCCGUGGGUUCAUCUUUAUAGCAUCUGAAACUAGGACAAGAGCCAAAUUUUCCAAAAUGCCAGAAGGGGUAACAAAGAAGUAACCAGUUGGAAGCUGAGGACUGGCAAAGUUCAAGACAAAAAUGAAGAAGCUGUGAUAAAGUCCCUCAAGCUUCAUGUGGCUGUACCUCCAGAGGCACCUGAGGGUUCCUACACUCUGAGAGGAUCAAGAAGAACAGAUGUACAAUCCACUUACUUUUGAGAUGAUAUUCAUCUAAUGCUGACCCUCUUGUCUAUUUGGGUAUCACCCCAUAAACUGAGCGGCCUGGUGGGAUGAAGGGCACAGGAUAACUGAGUGAGUUUCUACACAAAUCAAUUCAUUCAAUUCUUUGCUCAAACAUGACCCUCCUCAUCAGUGGCUUCCUUAUUUAACAUAGCCAGUUACUCUUUAUUCUCUCAUUCUGUUUGGUUUUAUUCAUAGCAUUUGUUUAUCACUAUUCCAAUUUAUACGAGUUGUUAAUUUGCCAAAUAUUAACCAGAAUGUAAGUUUGAUGAGGAAAGAAGCCUUUCUCAUUUUCACCUGUGUGUCCAUUGCCUAGAAGAAUAUCUGGUGCAUGGCAGGCACUCAGUUUCUAUUGAAUGAAUUAUGAGUGAAUGAAUGAAUGAUCUUUGAUGGGUGGGAAAGCAAAAAAUGGGUUUAAGACAUCAAACAAAAGGUGUAGGAAUGCUAGUGUUAGAAAAAAGAGGAAAGACUGGGAAUGAAGCUCUUAAUAGAAUAGAAAGAGUACUUCCGUCAACCUGCCCUGGAGGGAUAAGGGCUCAAGAGAUUAGACUGGGGAGGUGUGAAGGAAAGGCUCAAGGCCCAGAUCUCAGAGUCCAUCUCAGGUUUUGCAGUGCCUGGCAUAGGCUUUCUUUGCACAGACUUAAUUCUCUACCACCCAGGUGUUGAAAUGAUGUUGCCCCAGGCACAUUGGAAGCUUUUAUCUGAGUUAAACCAGAGGAAAUUGGUGAAUAGAAAAUAAUUCAAAGCACUUCUUUUUACAUCAGCUUUAGAGAGGCAUUAUUCCUUGGCUCAUGGGUUGAGGGAAAAGCUGCCUAGGUAAAAAAAUAAAAUAAAAUAAAACAAUAAUAAUGCUGGGAAUAAUUCAAAUAACAGCAGCUACUAUAGUAGGGAAGGGAUAAAACCUAGUGGUUGAGAGUUAGACAGCCUGGAUUUGAAUACUGGCUUAACUACUUAGAAAUUUCUAUGCUUUAAUU
RNA transcript from Sus scrofa (pig), 1316 nucleotides. RefSeq lists it as uncharacterized. The record is from RefSeq and is a predicted model, not a curated record. Lineage: Eukaryota; Metazoa; Chordata; Mammalia; Artiodactyla; Suidae.